Long non-coding RNA from Folsomia candida, 1117 nucleotides. RefSeq lists it as uncharacterized. The transcript is spliced from 3 exons. The record is from RefSeq and is a predicted model, not a curated record. Lineage: Eukaryota; Metazoa; Arthropoda; Collembola; Entomobryomorpha; Isotomidae.
ACUUAUUUCUUUUCAUCUAUCAAUCUCAUAACGGUUUCAUUUUAUAGUCUAAAUCUACCACAACCAGUGCACACAGAAUUACUGUUUCCUUGUCCAAUAAAAGUAGUACAUUCUGUUCGGAUAAAUUCUGAUGCUGUGAUUUUCCAUAUAAAUUGAAAAAGUUGGCACACUUUGAGCAAAAGGAUUAUCGGGGUUAGUCGCAUCCCGGCAGACAUAAUCUCAGCCCCCGUACGUCGUAUGAACAAGUUAAAUUUAUCCUUUACAAGUUCAUGUUUCUCCUUGAGCUUGUUAUGUACGUGUGCCUGCCUGCCUACCUACGUACGUACGGACAGGACGACGGCCAUACUUUGUUUGUUCUUACCUUCUCCCAUGUCCAGCAGCAAAAGGGAAAGGAGUGAAGAAGUACAGAAAAACCGAAAGCCAGGAUUUGGGGCUGGUUUGGAAUGAGAAAGUGGUCGUGGCUACUCCAAUUUGGUUGCUCCUCACAAGUAGCUCCCAGCACUUUGAAGUUGAAGCACUUCAAACCUCAAGUCAAAGGAAACAGUUUACCUUUCUCCUCCUGCUUUCGUAUUAUACUGCUUUCCCCUGCCCAAAUUGCACUCCCAACAGAUAGUGGUUCGAUUGACACUGUCUUCGGCUUCAUGAAUGAAUGAAUGAAUCUCAACUAAAUUUCAUAAGCUCAUCUGUACUUCAAUCAAACCCACCCACCACCAAGUCCCCUCUACAAGCACGUGUUGGCGGACGGACGGAAUUUUAUUCAAUGAAUUGCCCACUCAAUUUUGAAAUUCACCACAACCAGCACUGGAAAAAGGUGGGAGGGAGAGGAUUAAGUGGAGGGCAAUAAAUCAUUGGAAUAUUUACAAUUGGAUGUCAACCGCACGACUCAUGAUUCAUGCAAUCUAAAUGAAAUGGAGAGAAGUUGGAGACAAUAUCUUUUUCCAUCUUGGUCAUGACUGCUUCAAAUGGAAAAUAAGAAGUGUAAUUUUCUCUGCCUUGGUGUGUAUGAGUAGCAGUUUCGAAUAUGUAAUAUCGACCUCGCCAUCAAUAUUGUACUUGGGUUUUGACUGGUGCCAUUAUCCACGUUAGAAUAUAAUAAAAUAUCUCUAGUAUAGUUUCA